UACGUAGGGUCCGAGCGUUGUCCGGAAUUACUGGGCGUAAAGAGCUCGUAGGUGGUUUGUCGCGUUGUUCGUGAAAACUCACAGCUUAACUGUGGGCGUGCGGGCGAUACGGGCAGACUGGAGUACUGCAGGGGAGACUGGAAUUCCUGGUGUAGCGGUGGAAUGCGCAGAUAUCAGGAGGAACACCGGUGGCGAAGGCGGGGUCUCUGGGCAGUAACUGACGCUGAGGAGCGAAAGCGUGGGGAGCGAACAGG
RNAcentral lists this ribosomal RNA (254 nucleotides) under uncultured bacterium. RNAcentral's name for it is "partial 16S ribosomal RNA". It matches the Rfam family "Bacterial small subunit ribosomal RNA", at positions 524 to 776 of the family's 1533-position model. The record is from RNAcentral.